UCAGAUUGAACAGCUAGUGCCGAGAGGCAU
This 30-nucleotide non-coding RNA is filed under the name Bombyx mori (domestic silkworm). Lineage: Eukaryota; Metazoa; Arthropoda; Insecta; Lepidoptera; Bombycidae. The record is from RNAcentral.